RNAcentral lists this ribosomal RNA (1387 nucleotides) under uncultured bacterium. RNAcentral's name for it is "bacterial SSU rRNA". It matches the Rfam family "Bacterial small subunit ribosomal RNA", at positions 28 to 1381 of the family's 1533-position model. The record is from RNAcentral.
AACGAACGCUGGCGGCGUGGAUAAGGCAUGCAAGUCGGACGAAUUUUCUAGCUUUUCCGGAAAAUUAGUGGCGAAAGGGUGCGUAACACGUGGGUAAUCUGCCUCAAUGACUGGGAUAACUCGUCGAAAGAUGAGCUAAUACCAGAUGUGACCACGUCUUCUUCGGGAGAUGAGGUAAAAGGACGGGGACGACUUCGGUCGCCUGUCGCAAUGAGAUGAGCCCGCGGCCUAUCAGGUAGUUGGUGAGGUAACGGCUCACCAAGCCUAUGACGGGUAGCUGGUCUGAGAGGAUGGUCAGCCACACUGGAACUGAGACACGGUCCAGACUCCUACGGGAGGCAGCAGCCGAGAAUCUUCCGCAAUGGGCGAAAGCCUGACGGAGCGACGCCGCGUGUAGGAUGAAGGCCUUCGGGUUGUAAACUACUGUCACUUGGGAAGAAACUUGUCUUGGUGAAUAAUCAGGACAAUUGACUGUACCAAGAGAGGAAGCCACGGCUAACUCUGUGCCAGCAGCCGCGGUAAGACAGAGGUGGCUAGCGUUGUUCGGAUUGAUUGGGUGUAAAGGGUGCGUAGGCGGUUUGGAAAGUCGGAUGUGAAAUCCUAUGGCUUAACCAUAGAAUUGCAUUCGAAACUUCUAGACUAGAGUGCGAGAGAGGUAAAGGGAAUUCCCGGUGUAAGGGUGAAAUCUGUAGAGAUCGGGAGGAACACCAGUAGCGAAGGCGCUUUACUGGCUCGUAACUGACGCUGAGUGCACGAAAGCAUGGGGAGCAAACGGGAUUAGAUACCCCGGUAGUCCAUGCCGUAAACGAUGUUCACUAGGUGUCGGUCUCGUUCAUUCGAGGUCGGUGCCGCAGCUAACGCAUUAAGUGAACCACCUGGGGAGUAUACUCGCAAGGGUGAAACUCAAAGGAAUUGACGGGGACCCGCACAAACGGUGGAGCAUGUGGUUUAAUACGACGAUACGCGUGGAACCUCACCCAGGCUUGACAUGUACUUGAAACCCUUAUGAAAGUAGGGGCCUCCCUUAAAAGACAGGUACACAGGUGUUGCAUGGCUGUCGUCAGCUCGUGUCGUGAGAUGUUGGGUUAAGUCCCGCAACGAGCGCAACCCCCAUUCUUAGUUGCUACGGGUAAUGCCGAGAACUCUAAGAAGACCGCCAGUGAUGAAUUGGAGGAAGGUGGGGAUGACGUCAAGUCAGUACGGCCCUUACGCCUGGGGCUACACACGUGCUACAAUGGCAGGUACAAUGGGUUGCGAAACCGCAAGGUGGAGCUAAUCCCCUAAAGCCUGCCCCAGUUCAGAUUGAAGGCUGCAACUCGCCUUCAUGAAGCCGGAAUCGUUAGUAACCCCGUAUCAGCCACGACGGGGUGAAUACGUUCCCGGGUCU